GUGCUCGCUUUGGCAGCACAUAUUCUAAAAUUGUAAUGAUACAGAGAAGAUUAGCAUGGCCCCUGAGCAAGAAUGACACACAAAUUCUUAAAAACAAACAGGCUGAG
This 107-nucleotide small nuclear RNA is filed under the name Dasypus novemcinctus (nine-banded armadillo). The record is from RNAcentral. Lineage: Eukaryota; Metazoa; Chordata; Mammalia; Cingulata; Dasypodidae.